RNAcentral lists this ribosomal RNA (479 nucleotides) under uncultured bacterium. Its description in RNAcentral is "partial 16S ribosomal RNA". It matches the Rfam family "Bacterial small subunit ribosomal RNA", at positions 29 to 507 of the family's 1533-position model. The record is from RNAcentral.
AUGAACGCUAGCGGCAGGCCUAACACAUGCAAGUCGAGGUAGAGGUUACCUUCGGGUAACCAAAACCGGCGCACGGGUGCGUAACGCGUAUACAAUCUGCCUUUCACAUAGGGAUAGCCCGAAGAAAUUUGGAUUAAUACCUAAUGGUAUAUAAAAGCGUCAUCGUUUUUAUAUUAAAGCUACGGUAGUUAAAGAUGAGUAUGCGUUCUAUUAGCUAGUUGGAGAGGUAACGGCUCCCCAAGGCGACGAUAGAUAGGGGUUCUGAGAGGGAUGUCCCCCACACUGGUACUGAGAUACGGACCAGACUCCUACGGGAGGCAGCAGUGAGGAAUAUUGGACAAUGGUCGGAAGACUGAUCCAGCCAUGCCGCGUGCAGGAUGAAGGUCAUAUGGAUUGUAAACUGCUUUUGUAAGGGAAGAAUAAGAGCUACGUGUAGUUUGAUGACGGUACCUUACGAAUAAGCAUCGGCUAACUCCGUG